CACCAGCGCCACGAGUGGCUAUCGCGAUUAUUGGGCCUAAAGCGUCCGUAGUCGGCUCUGUGCAUCUUCUGUGAAAUCGUUGCGCUUAACGUAACGGCACGCGGGAGACACGGCUAAGCUUGAGACCGGGAGGCGUCGAGGGUAUUCCAAGGGGACCGGUAAAAUGGUAUAAUCCUUGGAGGACCACCUGUGGCGAAGGCGGCUAACUGGAACGAACCUGACGGUGAGUAACGAAAGCCAGGGGCGCGAA
This 250-nucleotide ribosomal RNA is filed under the name uncultured archaeon. RNAcentral's name for it is "partial 16S ribosomal RNA". It matches the Rfam family "Archaeal small subunit ribosomal RNA", at positions 474 to 723 of the family's 1478-position model. The record is from RNAcentral.